Long non-coding RNA from Symphalangus syndactylus (siamang), 485 nucleotides. RefSeq lists it as uncharacterized. The record is from RefSeq and is a predicted model, not a curated record. Lineage: Eukaryota; Metazoa; Chordata; Mammalia; Primates; Hylobatidae.
UGGGCCUGCCCACACUACCAGUUAAAUGAAAAAUGUAAGUUGAUUGGAAAAUAUAUAAUGAGACUCUUCCCAGGCUUUUCCUACCUGUGGAUUCAGUUAAAGAAAUAGGUAGAAGAUGACCCUGUUGACCAGCCCUGUUUAUGUAGAGGAAACAUCCUAAAAUGAAGAAUGGAAAUGUAUUAUGUUAUGAUAAUGCAUUAGAUUUACUCCUCAAGGUCUUCCUCAUCUUCAAUUCUAUGAAUUCAAAACAACUACUGCCUACAGAAUGAGGUCCAGAAAUCAGAACUCUAACAGACACAAAACACACCACAAUGUCACAGUAGCAGAUAAUACAACCAUCUCAUGAGCACACAGGAAAACAGAGGACGUGUCUGCAAAAGAGUAACUCCCUUUACAGCAAUGGAAUCAGGACACCUAUCACUAAAAGAAUGACCAUUUAUCCAAUGACUAAGAAAAUUUACCCAAUAAAACACCAUUUUGCAAAU